AGGGUGUAAACGCUGCAGACUUGGUGUUGGGAACCCUUCGGGGGUGCUCAGUGCCGGAGAGAAGUUGUUAAGUCUGCUACUUGGGGAGUACGUCCGCAAGGAUGAAACUUAAAGGAAUUGGCGGGGGAGCACCGCAACGGGAGGAGCGUGCGGUUUAAUUGGAUUCAACACCGUAAAACUCACCAGGGAAGACUGUUACAUGAAGGCCGAGAUGAAGACUCUGCUAGAUUUUCAGAGGUGGUGCAUGGCGUCAGUGACU
This 259-nucleotide ribosomal RNA is filed under the name uncultured archaeon. Its description in RNAcentral is "partial 16S ribosomal RNA". It matches the Rfam family "Archaeal small subunit ribosomal RNA", at positions 748 to 1008 of the family's 1478-position model. The record is from RNAcentral.